Molecule: ribosomal RNA, 253 nt
Filed under: uncultured bacterium
Lineage: Bacteria
Description: partial 16S ribosomal RNA
Rfam family: Bacterial small subunit ribosomal RNA
Source: RNAcentral
UACGUAGGGGGCUAGCGUUGUCCGGAAUCAUUGGGCGUAAAGAGCGUGUAGGCGGCCCGGUAAGUCCGCUGUGAAAGUCGGGGGCUCAACCCUCGAAUGCCGGUGGAUACUGUCGGGCUAGAGUGCGGAAGAGGCGAGUGGAAUUCCUGGUGUAGCGGUGAAAUGCGCAGAUAUCAGGAGGAACACCAAUUGCGAAGGCAGCUCGCUGGGACGGUACUGACGCUGAGGCGCGAAAGCGUGGGGAGCAAACAGG